This 253-nucleotide ribosomal RNA is filed under the name uncultured bacterium. Its description in RNAcentral is "partial 16S ribosomal RNA". It matches the Rfam family "Bacterial small subunit ribosomal RNA", at positions 524 to 776 of the family's 1533-position model. The record is from RNAcentral.
UACGGGGGGGGCAAGCGUUGUUCGGAAUUACUGGGCGUAAAGGGCGCGUAGGCGGUUUGCUAAGUUGGAUGUGAAAACUCUGGGCUUAACCCAGAGCCUGCAUUCAAUACUGGCAGGCUAGAGUUCUGGAGGGGAUAGCGGAAUUCCUGGUGUAGCGGUGAAAUGCGCAGAUAUCAGGAGGAACACCGAUGGCGAAGGCAGCUCGCUGGGACGGUACUGACGCUGAGGCGCGAAAGCGUGGGGAGCAAACAGG